UACAGAGGGUGCGAGCGUUAAUCGGAAUUACUGGGCGUAAAGCGCGCGUAGGCGGCUUUGCAAGUCGGGUGUGAAAUCCCCAGGCUUAACCUGGGAACUGCAUUCGAGACUGCAUUGCUAGAGUAUGGGAGAGGGAAGUGGAAUUUCAGGUGUAGCGGUGAAAUGCGUAGAUAUGUGGAGGAACACCGAUGGCGAAGGCAGCCCCCUGGGCUAACACUGACGCUCAUGCACGAAAGCGUGGGGAGCAAACAGG
RNAcentral lists this ribosomal RNA (253 nucleotides) under uncultured bacterium. RNAcentral describes it as "partial 16S ribosomal RNA". It matches the Rfam family "Bacterial small subunit ribosomal RNA", at positions 524 to 776 of the family's 1533-position model. The record is from RNAcentral.